AUGGGCAUGGGCACGGCACUACAGCCGGCCAUGGCCGCCGCGGCCUCGAACACGGUCCACCGGCCGCGGCCGCUGCCUGCCGCGAAUCGCGGCACCAGCCGCCCCACCGCCUCCGCGCCGCCCGUGAGAGCGCUGGUCUGCUCGGCUCCCCCUCAGUCGAGGCCGCCGCGGCACGCCGUCUCGACCACGGCCCGGGCGGCGGAGGCUGGGGCAGCGUCGUCCACCUCGCCGGACGCCGUCACCUACUCCUCCAGCAUCGACACCGACAUGCCCCUCUACGAGCCCCCGGGGGUGUCGUUCGACGAGUACCUCCAGGACCGGCCCCGCGUGUUCCGCGCCAUGUUCCCCGACGAGAGCCGGAGCCAGCAGCUCAGCGAUGAGGAGUGGAGGAUCCAGAUGCUGCCGCUGGAGUUCCUCUUCAUCACCGUGCGCCCCGUCGUCGUGAUGCAGCUGCGCAACCGCGCCGCCGGCGGGCUCGACCUCCGAAUCACCGAGUGGGAGCUGAGGGGGCUGGACAGCGGCUACACGCCGGCGAGCUUCGACCUGGGCGUGCGGGGGUCGCUGUACGCGGACAGGGGGCAGCGGCGCGGCAGCCGGCUGAGGGGCCACCUGGAGAUCUCCAUCACCGUCGCCCUCCCGCCGCCCAUGCGGAUCGUGCCGGAGGCCGUCCUCCGGGGCGUCGCCGAGUCGGUCCUGUCGACGCUUGCCGAGAGGAUGAAGCGGGACGUGGACGUCGGCCUCGUCGCCGACUUCCGGAGGUUCCGGCUGGAGAAGGCGGCGUCCAGAGCGGCGGUGACGAGAGCAGACAGCAAAGCCUGA
This 819-nucleotide ribosomal RNA is filed under the name Triticum aestivum (bread wheat). Its description in RNAcentral is "partial small subunit ribosomal RNA". Lineage: Eukaryota; Viridiplantae; Streptophyta; Magnoliopsida; Poales; Poaceae. The record is from RNAcentral.